GUUUGACCUUAACCAGUUGAGCAUAUCAGUUAAUGGCUGACAAUAUGUGCCUCUCUGAUCAUGUGCAGGAGUAGUGGUGGAGCAUCAUAGCCAUGUGUUGAGAGAAAUUCUUUGGGGUUUGAAUAAAUGUAAAAUAAGCAAACUUUGAAGGAAAUAUUAGCCAUUCUUCAUACUUUCUAGGGGUAAGCAAAUAAAUUAUAAUAGUUGCUACCCGAGGACAAAAAUCAUAU
This is a long non-coding RNA of Octopus sinensis (East Asian common octopus), 230 nucleotides long. RefSeq lists it as uncharacterized. The transcript has 3 exons. Lineage: Eukaryota; Metazoa; Mollusca; Cephalopoda; Octopoda; Octopodidae. The record is from RefSeq and is a predicted model, not a curated record.